UAGCUCAGUUGGUAAAGAAUCUGCCUGCAGUGCAGGAGACCCAGGUUUGAUUCCUGG
Ovis aries (sheep) is the source of this 57-nucleotide transfer RNA. It matches the Rfam family "tRNA", at positions 8 to 63 of the family's 71-position model. From Rfam's summary of the family: Transfer RNA (tRNA) molecules are approximately 80 nucleotides in length. Their secondary structure includes four short double-helical elements and three loops (D, anti-codon, and T loops). Further hydrogen bonds mediate the characteristic L-shaped molecular structure. tRNAs have two regions of fundamental functional importance: the anti-codon, which is responsible for specific mRNA codon recognition, and the 3' end, to which the tRNAs corresponding amino acid is attached (by aminoacyl-tRNA synthetases). tRNAs cope with the degeneracy of the genetic code in two manners: having more than one tRNA (with a specific anti-codon) for a particular amino acid; and 'wobble' base-pairing, i.e. permitting non-standard base-pairing at the 3rd anti-codon position. NCBI's taxonomy places the organism in Eukaryota, Metazoa, Chordata, Mammalia, Artiodactyla, Bovidae. The record is from Rfam.